Molecule: unclassified non-coding RNA, 270 nt
Filed under: Basidiomycota sp.
Lineage: Eukaryota; Fungi; Basidiomycota
Description: partial contains small subunit ribosomal RNA, internal transcribed spacer 1, and 5.8S ribosomal RNA
Rfam family: Eukaryotic small subunit ribosomal RNA (bases 1-47)
Source: RNAcentral
AAAGUCGUAACAAGGUUUCCGUAGGUGAACCUGCGGAAGGAUCAUUAAUCAAUAAUAGUUCUUUGCUUCGGCAAGAACAUCUUCAUUCCAAACACUGUGAACUAUAAACUACAAUCUCCCUUUGAAAUUCACACAGUAAUCCUUAAUUGCGUGAACAGCCAAUUCAUUGGGAAUCAAGAUUGUAUCCCAUUUAAAACACUACAAAGUUUAAAGAAUGUAAUAAAACAAAAAAACAAAACAAAACUUUCAACAACGGAUCUCUUGGCUCUC